GUGGAGCAUGUGGCUUAAUUUGACUCAACGCGGGAAAUCUUACCGGGUCCGGACACACUAAGGAUUGACAGAUAUACGCUGCGUUAUGUCCUUCGGGACUGCGUGGCUCAAAGAUGCUAGUUCUUUCAUGAUUAUGUGAUAGGUGGUGCAUGGCCGUUCUUAGUUCGUGGAGUGAUCUGUCUGCUUAAUUGCGUAUCAAUAAUAGAGACCUAGUAUACGUGCAUUACUCAUGUGGUAGUGACCCCCUCUUCGCGGAGGCGCGUGUCGCACAUAUGGUAUGCGCACUGGUCUCAGAUAGCAACGAACGUGACCGUAUUCUAUUGUUGCAGUGAAUUAUACGUGCUGCUCUUUACCGAGUUAGUUACAUCCCACUGCUUAGUGUGCUCGGCGUAUUUCGGUACUCGCGUCACACAUUAAACUAUAGAGACCGCUGUUUCUUCUUUAAACCAGAGGAAGGAUAC
Molecule: ribosomal RNA, 461 nt
Filed under: Ammonia sp. T15
Lineage: Eukaryota; Foraminifera; Rotaliida; Rotaliidae
Description: SSU rRNA
Rfam family: Eukaryotic small subunit ribosomal RNA
Source: RNAcentral